Molecule: ribosomal RNA, 464 nt
Filed under: uncultured Paenibacillus sp.
Lineage: Bacteria; Bacillati; Bacillota; Bacilli; Caryophanales; Paenibacillaceae
Description: bacterial SSU rRNA
Rfam family: Bacterial small subunit ribosomal RNA
Source: RNAcentral
CCUACGGGUGGCAGCAGUAGGGAAUCUUCCGCAAUGGACGCAAGUCUGACGGAGCAACGCCGCGUGAGUGACGAAGGUUUUCGGAUUGUAAAACUCUGUUGCCGGGGACGAAGGACAGGGAGAGGGAAUGCUCCCUGGGUGACGGUACCCGAGAAGAAAGCCCCGGCUAACUACGUGCCAGCAGCCGCGGUAAUACGUAGGGGGCAAGCGUUGUCCGGAAUUAUUGGGCGUAAAGCGCGCGCAGGCGGUGCCUUAAGUCUGGUGUGAAACGUGAGGGCUCAACCCUCAUUGGCACUGGAAACUGGGGGACUGGAGUGCAGGAGAGGAGAGUGGAAUUCCACGUGUAGCGGUGAAAUGCGUAGAGAUGUGGAGGAACACCAGUGGCGAAGGCGACUCUCUGGCCUGCAACUGACGCUGAGGCGCGAAAGCGUGGGGAGCAAACAGGAUUAGAUACCCUUGUAGUC